UUAGACACUUGAAGCGCGAGGUCAGAGGACACCAUGAAGAGAUGUCUCAGUUAAGCGAGAGGGUCAGAGAUAUGGAGCGCCUUAUAGACCAGAAGGAGAAAGAACAGCAGCAGCUACAUGAUCAGCUGCGUGAUGGUCAGCAACAGGUCGAGACAUUUGAAGGGAAGCAAGAGAAGCAGGAGCUUGAGAUGGAAUUUCUUCAGCAGCAGCUGCGAGGAGCCAAGGAGCAGCUGAAAGAUGCCAGUUUACAAGCCCAGGAGAAGAAAGAAACAGUAGCCAUUUUUAGACAGAAGUACACAGCAGCGAUGGAGAAGGUGCACCGGGUGCAAGGGCAGGUGGAGCUUUUGGAAGAGGAACUACAGUAUUCACAGCAACAGCUCGGAGAUGCCCAAGUUGGGACUCAUUCAGUGAAAGAGGAGCUAGCCGAGAUGGAGCAGCGGUACCGGGAAAAGGUCGGCCAAUGGGAGUUCUCGCAGGAGGCUCUCGACCAGUUGACGGAUGAGCUCCAGGCCAAUCAGGAUCUAUGGAGGGAGAGUCAACAAAAAGCAGACCAUCUGAAAGGCCUGGCAGGAUCCCUGCAGGAGCAAGUGGACACACUCAAACAGCAGAAAGCGAUGUUGGAGUGUGACCUACAGCUAUAUCAACAGAGUCACUCUCAUGCUGACGAGGAGUUCCUCCGGCAGCUGAGACACCGGCAGCAGCUUCAGAAGCGCUGCACGGAGCAGGUCGAACGCCUUGCAGAGUGUGAGAAGGCGAUUCUUCAGAUGAAGUCAGAGCUGGAGAGACAAGUCCAGGAAAAAGGGGGUCUGAAGCAAAGUCUUCUCGCGUCCCACCAUACACACACGAGCGACCGAAGCCGGCUGGAACAGGAAGUUGUAUGCUUAGAGCUUGAGCUGGCUGACACCCAAAAGGUACAUGUGGCACUUCUCAGACAGUCAGAGGAGGAGCUGAAGGAGGCCGUACAAGAGGCAGCGAGAAGGAGCAGUGAGGUGGAUGUACAGCGAGGAGAGGCGGUGAGGCUUCAGGAAGAGUUACUGAAGGGGGAGGAGAAGGCGAGUAGUGCCAUCAGAGAGAAACAAAGUCUGAGCGCUCGCAUCAGACAGUUGAGCCAAGAGCUGGAGGAGCUACGCAGCAAGCUGCAAGUGACAGUGGAGGAGUUGGCAGCCCGUGCAGAGGAGGCGAGGCGGAUGGAGGGGAGCCUGAAUGAGGGAAAGCUAGCAGAGGGGAAAAUAAGGUCAAUGGCUGCGAGGAUGGAGACGGAGGUGGCAGAGCUCACGAGGAAUCUUCACCAGGCUGUCGACCACAAACUCUCGGCAGAGCGAGAGAAGCGGGAAGCGCAGGAACAAGUGGACACACUCCGGUCGGAGCUGCAGGGGACACGGUCUGACUACGCACACCUUCGCCAUGAGAGCCAGCUGGUCAUGACUAAUGUUGACCGUUGGAUCAGUGAACAAAAGGUUUCCAACGAGAGCCUCAUCGGCCGGAUGAAGGCCCGCCAGCGGGUGCUGCUCCUCGUCACUGAGGAGAAAACACAUCUUCAGGGCGCUAAUGACACGUUGAAGGCGGAGGUAAAGAGACUGAAAGAAGUGGCGCAUGAGAAAGAGAGAGACACGGAACGCUUUAAGGCCAGGAUCCGAAACCAGAGCAUCCGGCAAGACGAGAGAACAAUGGAAAAGCAGAGUUGUGUUGCUCUAAACCUCAGCAAGAUCGAGGACAUGCACAACAGACUGCGAAGCAACCUGGAGGCCAUCGGAAUGCUAAAUCAACAAUUAAACUCCCUCAGCGGGGAGAAUAAGCGGUUGUGUAGGCGGCUGCAGGAGGAGAGGUCUAUGCGUAGACAAGUGGAGCGACUGCUCCCUCCUCCGCCUCCCACCUUCCAGCAGUGCUCCUCCGUCUACCUCCCCCUCUCCCUCAGUGCCUGCCCACCUCCUCCCUCCACCUCCCUACUCUCAUCCCUCCGCCUCCCUCCUCCCUUGAGCCCGGGCACAGCGACGGGGGACAUUGAUGGGAUUCUAACCCAAACCAAGCUGAGCAGAGCCGGGCUAGAGAGACCAGAGACGUGCUGAUCAAGAGAUCCCACAUGAAAGCUUCGAUCCUUUAUUGAUUUCACCUUUUUAAACUGCGUCUCUCCGGAGGGUGUGAUAUUGAGAUUAUGAGAA
This 2159-nucleotide long non-coding RNA is filed under the name Cottoperca gobio. RNAcentral describes it as "lncRNA (ENSCGOG00000022901.1)". Lineage: Eukaryota; Metazoa; Chordata; Actinopteri; Perciformes; Bovichtidae. The record is from RNAcentral.